Molecule: ribosomal RNA, 253 nt
Filed under: uncultured bacterium
Lineage: Bacteria
Description: partial 16S ribosomal RNA
Rfam family: Bacterial small subunit ribosomal RNA
Source: RNAcentral
UACGGAGGGUGCGAGCGUUACUCGGAAUUACUGGGCGUAAAGCGCACGCAGGCGGUCUGUCAAGUCGGAUGUGAAAUCCCCGGGCUCAACCUGGGAACUGCAUUCGAAACUGGCAGGCUAGAGUCUUGUAGAGGGGGGUGGAAUUCCAGGUGUAGCGGUGAAAUGCGUAGAGAUCUGGAGGAAUACCGGUGGCGAAGGCGGCCCCCUGGACAAAGACUGACGCUCAGGUGCGAAAGCGUGGGGAGCAAACAGG